AUAAUAGCAUUUGAAGGCAGUUAAAACAUAAAAUAAAACCUAUUAUUUUUUAUUGCUUUUUCAAUGUUGGUAAAAGAACUAGGUUGGUGGCAUAACAAAGUCAUGCAAACAACAAAUAUUCUCCACUUGUGUUCUUUGUCAUUUUGGUUAAUAGUUUUCAAACACUGAUUUAAAAACCUUAGAACAUACACCAUCAUUUAAUUGUUUCCCUUUAUGACCACCCUUUCCUUUGUUGUGUUUACCACCUUCUUUUUUUCAUGGGCCACGUUGUUGUUGCACACCGUAGCCAGAAGCCCACAGACAGAAGCCCCUAAUGCUGGUCGCUCGAGGACCUUAUCUUUGCCAUCUUUGUCUUCACUUGCAAUGAUGUAGUGGUUUUCGGCGUGAAAGCUGGUGAGACAUUACGCAUGGUGACGAUGGGGUGUUUCACUUUGGAAUAGGGUGUGACAACGACAUGGUUUUGAAGGAAGGAGAGGAGGAAGUAAGGUGACGUGGAACAUGAUGCUGAAAAGGUGGAGAGGAAUUUUCAAGAUGGUGGGGGCGCGAGAAAAGGUGAGACUAGUAUGUGGUGGAAAAAUUUAGAAUCAGUUAUAAGUAUUACUUUGGAUUUGGCUUGAUCAUUUCAGAAAUGACAAGGGUUAAAUAUGACAUUUUGAAAUAAUUCCUUCCAAAUCCCAACACUUUCGUAGGUUAAAAAAAAUGGAAUAUAUCUUGUAAUUCUUUGCUCUCUUUUCUUCACAUAUCUGCUGAGUUGAGCAUUAAAGGUCUCAUAAAUUUGUUGUCACCAUUCUUCGUGAACAGAAAAAUCACUUUAUCCGAACGUAGUAUUAAUUAAAAAGAGAGAAAAGUCG
RNAcentral lists this long non-coding RNA (851 nucleotides) under Vigna radiata. Its description in RNAcentral is "long non-coding RNA (VRAD_LNC000945)". Lineage: Eukaryota; Viridiplantae; Streptophyta; Magnoliopsida; Fabales; Fabaceae. The record is from RNAcentral.